This is a long non-coding RNA of Xiphophorus couchianus (Monterrey platyfish), 480 nucleotides long. RefSeq lists it as uncharacterized. NCBI's taxonomy places the organism in Eukaryota, Metazoa, Chordata, Actinopteri, Cyprinodontiformes, Poeciliidae. The record is from RefSeq and is a predicted model, not a curated record. The transcript has 2 exons.
GUCUGCUCUAGUUUUUACUACAGUAAAUCCAGGGAAAAGGAGAGGAGAGCAUGAAGCCAGGAGAGAAGCCUGGUUCCUGGAAGAGUCAGAGUAGAAAAGUAACUGAACAGAACAUCAACCAUUUAAUAUUUAAAAAUUAAUCAUCAACUGGACCAAAAUGUAAAGUCAAUGUUGAAAUUUAGUAUUUUAAAGACCAGAAUGAAAAUAAUUCAAAUAAAUAUUAUAACUACAAAAUAACAAAAUCAGGUAAAAGAGAUAUUUUUCAUAAUCAGUUUCUCUCAAUAUUAAACCUAUGAAACUUUAACAAAAACUGCAGGUGUGUGUCUGGUGAAGCUCAAGUUAAAAGAAGCUUGUUCUGCAUGCAGCCAGGAUCCAGACAUUUUACUCAAAUAACAGUAGCAAUACCUCAUAAUAAAAUGACUCAGGUAAAAGUCGAAAAGUACACUGUAGUAAAAAUUCUCCUCAAAGUACUUUUUUCCC